AAGGGAUUCUGAGGAGGAAUGACCCCCCACACUGGUACUGAGACACCGACCAGACUCCUACCGGAGGCAGCAGUACGAUAUGUCCAUGGGCGAGCCUGACCAGCCAUGCCGCGUGCAGCAGACGCCCUACCGGGUUGUAAACUGCUUUACAGGGGAAUAAACCUCGGUACGUGUACCGAGCUGAAUGUACUCUGAGAAUAAGGAUCGGCUAACCCCGUGCCAGCAGCCGCGGUAAUACGGAGGAUCCAAGCGUUAUCCGGAUUUAUUGGGUUUAAAGGGUGCGUAGGUGGCCUGUUAAGUCAGGGGUGAAAGACGGUAGCUCAACUAUCGCAGUGCCCUUGAUACUGAUGGGCUUGAAUAAACUAGAGGUAGGCGGAAUGUGACAAGUAGCGGUGAAAUGCAUAGAUAUGUCACAGAACACCAAUUGCGAAGGCAGCUUACUAUGGUUUUAUUGACACUGAGGCACGAAAGCGUGGGGAUCAAACAGGAUUAGAUACCCUGGUAGUCCACGCCCUAAACGAUGAAUACUCGAUGUUGGCGAUAUACGGUCAGCGUCUAAGCGAAAGCGUUAAGUAUUCCACCUGGGGAGUACGCCCGCAAGGGUGAAACUCAAAGGAAUUGACGGGGGCCCGCACAAGCGGAGGAGCAUGUGGUUUAAUUCGAUGAUACGCGAGGAACCUUACCCGGGCUUGAAAGUUAGUGAAUGAUCCAGAGACGGAUCAGUCCUUCGGGACACGAAACUAGGUGCUGCAUGGCUGUCGUCAGCUCGUGCCGUGAGGUGUUGGGUUAAGUCCCGCAACGAGCGCAACCCCUAUGUUUAGUUGCCAGCACAUAAUGGUGGGGACUCUAAACAGACUGCCUAUGCAAAUAGAGAGGAAGGAGGGGACGACGUCAAGUCAUCAUGGCCCUUACGUCCGGGGCUACACACGUGCUACAAUGGUUGAUACAGAGGGCAGCUACCUGGCAACAGGAUGCCAAUCUCACAAAGUCAAUCACAGUUCGGAUCGGGGUCUGCAACUCGACCCCGUGAAGUUGGAUUCGCUAGUAAUCGCAGAUCAGCAAUGCUGCGGUGAAUACGUUCCCGGGCCUUGUACACACCGCCCGUGCAAGCCAUGGAAGCUGGAAGUGCCUGAAGUGCGUAACCGCAAGGAGCGUCCUAGGGUAAAGUACUGAUUGCCU
RNAcentral lists this ribosomal RNA (1179 nucleotides) under uncultured bacterium. RNAcentral describes it as "bacterial SSU rRNA". It matches the Rfam family "Bacterial small subunit ribosomal RNA", at positions 284 to 1477 of the family's 1533-position model. The record is from RNAcentral.